RNAcentral lists this ribosomal RNA (547 nucleotides) under Fusarium solani. RNAcentral's name for it is "eukaryotic LSU rRNA". It matches the Rfam family "Eukaryotic large subunit ribosomal RNA", at positions 1 to 558 of the family's 3401-position model. The record is from RNAcentral. Lineage: Eukaryota; Fungi; Ascomycota; Sordariomycetes; Hypocreales; Nectriaceae.
UUGACCUCGAAUCAGGUAGGAAUACCCGCUGAACUUAAGCAUAUCAAUAAGCGGAGGAAAAGAAACCAACAGGGAUCGAAUCAGUAACGGCGAGUGAAGCGGCAACAGCUCAAAUUUGAAAUCUGGCUCUCGGGCCCGAGUUGUAAUUUGUAGAGGAUGCUUUUGGUGAGGUGCCUUCCGAGUUCCCUGGAACGGGACGCCAUAGAGGGUGAGAGCCCCGUCUGGUUGGACACCGAUCCUCUGUAAAGCUCCUUCGACGAGUCGAGUAGUUUGGGAAUGCUGCUCUAAAUGGGAGGUAUAUGUCUUCUAAAGCUAAAUACCGGCCAGAGACCGAUAGCGCACAAGUAGAGUGAUCGAAAGAUGAAAAGAACUUUGAAAAGAGAGUUAAACAGUACGUGAAAUUGUUGAAAGGGAAGCGCUUGUGACCAGACUUGGGCUUGGUUGAUCAUCCGGGGUUCUCCCCGGUGCACUCUUCCGGCUCAGGCCAGCAUCAGUUCGCCCUGGGGGAUAAAGGCUUCGGGAAUGUGGCUCUCUCCGGGGAGUGUUA